RNAcentral lists this ribosomal RNA (459 nucleotides) under uncultured bacterium. RNAcentral describes it as "partial 16S ribosomal RNA". It matches the Rfam family "Bacterial small subunit ribosomal RNA", at positions 338 to 795 of the family's 1533-position model. The record is from RNAcentral.
CCUACGGGAGGCAGCAGUGAGGAAUAUUGGUCAAUGGUCGGGAGACUGAACCAGCCAAGCCGCGUGAGGGAGGAAGGUACAGAGUAUCGUAAACCUCUUUUGUCAGGGAACAAAGACUGGGACGCGUCCCCGGAUGAGUGUACCUGAAGAAAAAGCAUCGGCUAACUCCGUGCAAGCAGCCGCGGUAAUACGGAGGCUGCGAGCGUUAUCCGGAUUUAUUGGGUUAAAGGGGUGCGCAGGCGGUUUGUAAUGUCAGCGGUCAAAGCCCGGGGCCAAACCCCGGCCCGCCGUUGAAACUGGCAGUCUCGAGUUGGAGAGAGGUAGGCGGAAUGCGCGGUGUAGCGGUGAAAUGCAUAGAUAGCGCGCAGAACUCCGAUUGCGAAGGCAGCAUGCCGGCUCCACACUGACGCUGAGGCACGAAAGCGUGGGUAUCGAACAGGAUUAGAUACCCCUGUAGUC